CUGAUCUGCCCGUUCACUAGCGAAACCACCCAACUUUUUCUGUCAGCAUGUUUGCCUACGUCCGGUAUAUUGACGACAACAUCCGACAGAUAGUGCCCUUGGACUACGUAAAAGGCUUCUGUCCAAAGGAUCUCAAGGAUUUUGAAACCAAGAAAAAAUAUAAUAUUUUGUGGAAGAAAUCAGCCAGAGGACCAGGGGCAAUACUACAAAGCACAGAUAUUAAAAUUGGCUGAAUCUGAAGAGGAAUUAAAGCG
Long non-coding RNA from Xyrauchen texanus (razorback sucker), 254 nucleotides. RefSeq lists it as uncharacterized. Lineage: Eukaryota; Metazoa; Chordata; Actinopteri; Cypriniformes; Catostomidae. The transcript is spliced from 3 exons. The record is from RefSeq and is a predicted model, not a curated record.